Molecule: unclassified non-coding RNA, 606 nt
Filed under: Hevea brasiliensis (rubber tree)
Lineage: Eukaryota; Viridiplantae; Streptophyta; Magnoliopsida; Malpighiales; Euphorbiaceae
Source: RNAcentral
UUUACAACAUCAUCUCUAUUUGUAUUUUUUGCACUUUUGCAAGUAGUAUAUGGAACAAAGGCCCAGAAGAGGAAUAAUUUCAAUUAUCUCACUUGUUCAAGCAGAAGUCACCCAUUUCACGAUCUAAAAUCAAUCCUCCAUAGCUGAGCAUGCUGCAGUUUGAUUGUGAUUAGGCUUUCUUCUCAUACAUGGCAAUUUGGUGAUGCAUGAAACAAGGUAUUUCUGCCAUCCUACUUUCAGAAACAUGCACUCCCCCACUAUCAUCAAUCUUCCCCUUUAUCUGGAUUCCAUUCCCGUUCUCAGAUCCAGUUGAAGGUAUCAGAAAGAAUUCAUCUCAAGACAGUAAGUUCUCCUCUUCACCAAUAUUUUUGCUGCGGUUCCAUAAGGUUCCUCGAAAGCGUUUGAAAGCCAUGACCCAUCAGAUACGUCUUUCUUUGUCAUUGACUGCUCGCUUGGACGUAUUGCUACAAGAGUUGCCCCUUUCAGAAUAAUCCCACCAGGCAAUUCCAAGUGAGGCGCAUACCAAAGCCUCAUAUUCAGAGCUGGAACAAGCGUUCUCUUUGACGCAGUUGAAGCUGACAAAGGCUUUACUCUCAACUCCUCCAG